Molecule: ribosomal RNA, 253 nt
Filed under: uncultured bacterium
Lineage: Bacteria
Description: partial 16S ribosomal RNA
Rfam family: Bacterial small subunit ribosomal RNA
Source: RNAcentral
UACGUAGGGGGCAAGCGUUGUCCGGAUUUAUUGGGCGUAAAGAGCGUGUAGGCGGUUUGGUAGGUCCGCUGUGAAAACUCGAGGCUCAACCUCGAGACGCCGGUGGAAACCAUCAGACUAGAGUCCGGAAGAGGAGAGUGGAAUUCCUGGUGUAGCGGUGAAAUGCGCAGAUAUCAGGAAGAACACCCGUGGCGAAGGCGGGUCUCUGGGCCGUAACUGACGCUGAGGGGCGAAAGCAUGGGGAGCGAACAGG